AACGAACGCUGGCGGCAGGCCUAAAACAUGCAAGUCGAACGAACCUUCGGGUUAGUGGCGCACGGGUGCGUAACGCGUGGGAAUAUACCUCUGGGUGCGGAACAACGUCUGGAAACGGACGCUAAUACCGCAUAAUAUCUACGGAGCAAAGAUUUAUCGCCCAGAGAUUAGCCCGCGUCUGAUUAGCUAGUUGGUGAAGUAAUGGCUCACCAAGGCGACGAUCAGUAGCUGGUCUGAGAGGAUGAUCAGCCACACUGGAACUGAGACACGGUCCAGACUCCUACGGGAGGCAGCAGUUGGGAAUAUUGGACAAUGGGGGAAACCCUGAUCCAGCCAUGCCGCGUGAGUGAAGAAGGCCUUAGGGUUGUAAAGCUCUUUCGGCUGUGAAGAUAAUGACAGUAGCAGAAGAAGAAGCUCCGGCUAAAUUCGUGCCAGCCGCCGCGGUAA
RNAcentral lists this ribosomal RNA (447 nucleotides) under uncultured bacterium. RNAcentral describes it as "partial 16S ribosomal RNA". It matches the Rfam family "Bacterial small subunit ribosomal RNA", at positions 29 to 523 of the family's 1533-position model. The record is from RNAcentral.